Long non-coding RNA from Myotis brandtii (Brandt's bat), 1472 nucleotides. RefSeq lists it as uncharacterized. NCBI's taxonomy places the organism in Eukaryota, Metazoa, Chordata, Mammalia, Chiroptera, Vespertilionidae. The transcript has 2 exons. The record is from RefSeq and is a predicted model, not a curated record.
UCCAAGGGGGCCCACCUAGCCAACGCUGGGGAGGCGGUGGCCGCAAGUUUGAUUCUGGCCUUGUGUCCCAUCAGCCACCUACGUCUGGGCGAGCCACACCGCCUCUCCUAGCCUCGGUUUCCCUGUGUGAAGGCCAGGGCCGCUGUGACAACAGAACGAACAAGGCACGCAGGCGCUGACCGGCGGCCGGGACCCCCGGGCGCUCAAUAGCUGGUCCCCACGCCCAGAAGGGCCGCAAAGGUGGCCAGGAGGCCGUCCGGGGUCCAGGCUCUCACCACAGCCUCUCACAGACACCAAUCCUUCCGUUUCACCAAGACCAACACCGGCCACCACAGCGCGGAAAGGUGGCCGCUGUGCUCCGGCCCUCGGACCCGGGCCCGUGAACUGGGGUUUCAUUGUGGGCACUCCUAUUGGAGAUUUAUCAGACGUGGGCCCCGGAACUGCACCCUCAGGGCCAACCCGUUGGCCCCCAUCUCUCCUCUGGCCCUUUAUGUGGCCGGGAGCUGAGGCGGUGACCACGGGUGGCUCUGUGCGGGGUAGAGGGGAUGGCGUGGAGGGGCCGUGGCUGCGCCUGCCUCCCCGGACCACGGCCUUCCGUCAGUGACUAAUGGAGGGAGGGACGGCCCGGACACCUCAGGCCAGGCUGCCAGGGGAAUGCUUUCAUACGCUUUAUGCCCGGGCAGGGCCGGUCAUGCCCAGAGUGCGAGCGGUGGGGAGAGAGGGAGGGAGCGAGGACUCUGGCCUCCCGCACAGCCACGUGACCAGCUCGCCAGCUGAUGACAGAGACAAAGCAGGCCCGAACCUGCAGGUCCAGUGCCGGCCCGGAGCCCAGGCGAGUCUGGGUGACGGAUGUGCAACCCCCGUGCCAUGUGCUGCAGCUUCUCUUACCGUCAAACCACGCUCGCGCGGGCUGCAGCCCGGCCCCGUCGUCUUGUUAUCAUUUAAAAUGUAAUUACAAACGGCUGAUUUGAAGGGACAAAUCGCCCUGAAAACGUGGAAGGCGAAUGUAGACUUAAGAGCCCAAAUCAGCAGGUAAAGAUUUCAGCUAAAGCCCUCCCGCCCCCUGGAAUCCCAGACCUGCGCGGGCCCUUUGCGGGAAGCCAGCCCGGCACGGGAGCCAGCCCAGCCGGGAGCCAGCCGCAUUCCUUGAUGAACCUGAAGGGGGAAAUCUGUUACUCCUGGAAAAAAAAAAAAAAAUGGCCUCUUUGCUCCGUCCGUCCGUCUCAGGCACAUGUUUUCUGACCACGGCGACCAGCCCCGCCGACCGUAAGAGCGGCUGCCGCUGCCCGCGGGUCACGGCUCAGCCCAGAAAGCCUCUCCGGCCGCUGAUUAAACAAACGGAGGCCCCGUCUGCAGCUGCGCUGUCCACGCAGGUUUCUGAGCCGUCCCGGCAAACAAGUCUCCAACCCAAACUUUGAAUUUUACUUUUGAACUACACCCCGCCCCCCAAUAAAAGGUGAAUAAAAGCUUCU